AACUUUUGACAACGGAUCUCUUGGUUCUGGCAUCGAUGAAAAACGCAGCGAAAUGCGAUAAUUAACGUGAAUUGCAGAAUUUAGUGAAUCAUCGAAUCUUUGAACGCACAUUGCGCCCCUUGGUAUUCCGGGGGGCAUGCCUGUUCGAGCGUCAUUUCAACCCUCAAGCUCUGCUUGGUCUUGGGCCGCGCCGGCAACGGCGGGCCUCAAAAACAGUGGCGGCGCCAUCGUGUCCCUCAGCGUAGUAAUUCUUCUCGCUGCUGGUGCCCGGUGGCCGCUGGCCAGCAAUCCCAAAUUUUUCUAUAGUUGACCUCGGAUCAGGUAGGGAUACCCGCUGAACUUAAGCAUAUCAAUAAGCGGAGGCU
Molecule: unclassified non-coding RNA, 365 nt
Filed under: uncultured Pezizella
Lineage: Eukaryota; Fungi; Ascomycota; Leotiomycetes; Helotiales; Hyaloscyphaceae
Description: sequence contains ITS2
Rfam family: 5.8S ribosomal RNA (bases 1-154)
Source: RNAcentral